AGCCGGGUUCCAUGCGACAAAAAAUCACGAACCCCGCCAGGUCCGGGAGGAAGCAACGGUAGUGAAUCUUUUUGUGUGUGCGGGUCGCCCGGCUAUC
This 97-nucleotide signal recognition particle RNA is filed under the name Deltaproteobacteria bacterium. RNAcentral describes it as "signal recognition particle sRNA small type". It matches the Rfam family "Bacterial small signal recognition particle RNA". Rfam says of the family: The signal recognition particle (SRP) is a universally conserved ribonucleoprotein involved in the co-translational targeting of proteins to membranes. Archaeal SRP consists of a 7S RNA and homologues of the eukaryotic SRP19 and SRP54 proteins. Lineage: Bacteria; Pseudomonadati; Myxococcota; Myxococcia. The record is from RNAcentral.